This is a small nuclear RNA of Otolemur garnettii (small-eared galago), 107 nucleotides long. NCBI's taxonomy places the organism in Eukaryota, Metazoa, Chordata, Mammalia, Primates, Galagidae. The record is from Ensembl.
GUGCUUGCUUUGGCUGCACAUAUACUAAAAUUGAAACGAUACAGAGAAGAUUAACAUGGCCCCUGUGCAAGGAUGACACGCAAAUUCGUGAAAUGUUCCAUAUUAAA